RNAcentral lists this ribosomal RNA (253 nucleotides) under uncultured bacterium. Its description in RNAcentral is "partial 16S ribosomal RNA". It matches the Rfam family "Bacterial small subunit ribosomal RNA", at positions 524 to 776 of the family's 1533-position model. The record is from RNAcentral.
UACGGGGGGGGCAAGCGUUGUUCGGAAUUACUGGGCGUAAAGGGCUCGUAGGUGGCCAACUAAGUCAGACGUGAAAUCCCCAGGCUCAACUUGGGAACUGCGUCUGAUACUGGAUGACUUGAAUUCGGGAGAGGGAUGCAGAAUUCCAGGUGUAGCGGUGAAAUGCGUAGAUAUCUGGAGGAAUACCGGUGGCGAAGGCGGCAUCCUGGACCGAGAUUGACACUGAUGAGCGAAAGCUAGGGGAGCAAACGGG